RNAcentral lists this ribosomal RNA (465 nucleotides) under Vreelandella stevensii. RNAcentral describes it as "partial 16S ribosomal RNA". It matches the Rfam family "Bacterial small subunit ribosomal RNA", at positions 338 to 795 of the family's 1533-position model. The record is from RNAcentral. Lineage: Bacteria; Pseudomonadati; Pseudomonadota; Gammaproteobacteria; Oceanospirillales; Halomonadaceae.
CCUACGGGUGGCUGCAGUGGGGAAUAUUGGACAAUGGGGGGAACCCUGAUCCAGCCGUGCCGCGUGUGUGAAGAAGGCCCUCGGGUUGUAAAGCACUUUCAGUGAGGAAGAACGCCUGGUGGUUAAUACCCAUCAGGAAAGACAUCACUCACAGAAGAAGCACCGGCUAACUCCGUGCCAGCAGCCGCGGUAAUACGGAGGGUGCGAGCGUUAAUCGGAAUUACUGGGCGUAAAGCGCGCGUAGGUGGCUUGAUAAGCCGGUUGUGAAAGCCCCGGGCUCAACCUGGGAACGGCAUCCGGAACUGUCAAGCUAGAGUGCAGGAGAGGAAGGUAGAAUUCCCGGUGUAGCGGUGAAAUGCGUAGAGAUCGGGAGGAAUACCAGUGGCGAAGGCGGCCUUCUGGACUGACACUGACACUGAGGUGCGAAAGCGUGGGUAGCAAACAGGAUUAGAUACCCGGGUAGUC